This 1262-nucleotide long non-coding RNA is filed under the name Pavo cristatus (Indian peafowl). Its description in RNAcentral is "lncRNA (ENSPSTG00000009171.1)". The record is from RNAcentral. Lineage: Eukaryota; Metazoa; Chordata; Aves; Galliformes; Phasianidae.
ACUGAUCAGACAAAAAUCAGAGAGCCUACUGCUGUUAGACUUAAGUCUGUUCUGCAAAAGCCUAGCUAAAGGUGUCUUAGUUCACAAAUUGCUUUAUGAUCUUAGUCUUUUAUCCAACAUGUUGUCAGAUCAGUAUCACUAAUGACGUUCUUAUUGUAUUUCUUCUCUAUUGUGUAGCUAUUUAGCCAUGAAGAGCCUAACCUUGUGAAAUCCUUACAUAAGACUUGAGCAGAUUUUGCUUACAUCAAAUCUAAACUAAAACUUAAACCUGGAUAGGAUUGUUUCUCUCUGUGACCCACUUCAACUACAUUGACACAGGGUCCUAUGUUAUUGAAAGAACACAGAAAUCAGCAUAGCCACUGUGGUGUAAUAAGGAGCAGAAAUGGAACACAGCCUAAGCUCUCAUUUCCAAAGCUAUAUAACAUAUUUUUUUGCUCACGUUAAACCUUGAAAGUUGCAUUGGUCUUGCUAUUAUGAAAUCAGAUGUGUUCAUAGCAGCUUUAAUGUUAAUUAAAGUUCUGUAUAGCUACUUAUUACCUUGUUUAUUUGUUUUAUUCAGGAAAAAAAAUGCAAAAAUAGAAGCAUUUACGUGAGCCAAAAGAUUUUUGCGGUGUAGUAGAAACUUCACUCUUAUCUGAAUCAAUUGCUACAGAAACUGAGGCAUCCUAAUAAGGAACAAAAAGCAUAGGUUGAACAGAGCAUCCUGAAUUCCUAGAAAAGUCCAGACAAUUAGGGAAUCAAAAUGAAGAAAACUGCUUGAGACAGUUCUACGUGUGCCUUCUGAAUUUUGUAGGGGUAGGACAGAAAAAAGGCAAGAGAGUUAACCUUCCAUGUACUGGUAUGUCUUCACACUAGGUGUUUGUGCCUUGAAGAUAUGGACUGAUCAGAUGUCCCAGAGGAGUAUGAAUCAACAGCCUGGAUGUGUUAUGGCUGCAACCAAUGAAGUUCAGCUAUUUCACAAGACUUGCUCCCAUCCCAGUCACUGUGUUCAGCUCUGGUUUCACUUCGUGUGCGGAUCUCCCAACAGGCUGACAGAAGCAGACAUGAAUUCGUGAUGAGGAGCAAUGCAGUACACUAGGUUAGUGCACCAACUGAGAUGUAAUCCAGAGAACUGUUUUCCUUGCAAUAGAGGAGGCUUUCUCAGACUGGAAAAAGAAAAGGGAUAAUCAACCUUUUCUAAAAUGUGGGAAGUUUUAUGUUGCAAACUGUGGGAUUUCAGUAUUCACAAGGACCAUCAGCUAGCAAUUAUUCUGUAAGCUCUU